GUUCAAGUGAGUAAUAGCAUCAGAUAUUCUGUCGAGAGAGAUGAGGGCUUCUGCAGCAUAUAAAUGGCCCAAAAACCUAAAACAAAAAAGCAGAUUCCACACUGAAAAAAGUAGGUCCUCACAAAAUAUCAAAUGUAUAAAUAGUUAUAUUUAACUCUUUAACUAUAAGCCACACAAUAAAUGGAAAAAGUAACUGUCAAUGCUAAGAGCAUGGUAGAGUGUGCCUGUCUAGAAGCAAGGUCUCAAAUUCAAACCAACUAUCACCAAACAAACUCCUAAGGCAAAACAAAACAAAAACUCCUCUAAAUGUUAAGUAGCUUUAGAUUCAAUUUUCAGAAUCAGCAUUAUAUAACAAAUUUAAAGCAUACUACUUUUCCCUUACAACAGAAAAGAUGACAAUACUGUUAUUACUGCAGAAGUAUCUGGACAGCCUAAACAAAACUGUCCUGCAGUCGUGACAUGGUGCAGUGGCUUGGGAGAGCACAAAGGUCCUGUUUAUUUAAACUGCGCUCUUUGAAGCAGAU
Molecule: long non-coding RNA, 524 nt
Organism: Perognathus longimembris pacificus (Pacific pocket mouse)
Lineage: Eukaryota; Metazoa; Chordata; Mammalia; Rodentia; Heteromyidae
Exons: 3
Source: RefSeq, a predicted model, not a curated record